This 477-nucleotide ribosomal RNA is filed under the name uncultured bacterium. RNAcentral's name for it is "partial 16S ribosomal RNA". It matches the Rfam family "Bacterial small subunit ribosomal RNA", at positions 28 to 507 of the family's 1533-position model. The record is from RNAcentral.
GAUGAACGCUGGCGGCGUGCCUAACACAUGCAAGUCGAACGAAGCACCUUACCUGAUUCUUCGGAUGAAAGUUUGGUGACUGAGUGGCGGACGGGUGAGUAACGCGUGGGUAACCUGCCUUGUACAGGGGGAUAACAGCUGGAAACGGCUGCUAAUACCGCAUAAGCGCACGAGGAGACAUCUCCUUGUGUGAAAAACUCCGGUGGUACAGGAUGGGCCCGCGUCUGAUUAGCUGGUUGGCAGGGUAACGGCCUACCAAGGCAACGAUCAGUAGCCGGUCUGAGAGGAUGAACGGCCACAUUGGAACUGAGACACGGUCCAAACUCCUACGGGAGGCAGCAGUGGGGAAUAUUGCACAAUGGGGGAAACCCUGAUGCAGCAACGCCGCGUGAGUGAAGAAGUAUUUCGGUAUGUAAAGCUCUAUCAGCAGGGAAGAUAAUGACGGUACCUGACUAAGAAGCUCCGGCUAAAUACGUG